RNAcentral lists this transfer RNA (101 nucleotides) under Trametes cinnabarina. Its description in RNAcentral is "Pycnoporus cinnabarinus tRNA". It matches the Rfam family "tRNA". Rfam says of the family: Transfer RNA (tRNA) molecules are approximately 80 nucleotides in length. Their secondary structure includes four short double-helical elements and three loops (D, anti-codon, and T loops). The record is from Rfam by way of RNAcentral. Lineage: Eukaryota; Fungi; Basidiomycota; Agaricomycetes; Polyporales; Polyporaceae.
GCCCGCCUAGCUCAAUCGGAUAGAGCGUCAGACUUUUAUCCGCAUCCUAGGGUUAGGAUCAUGGAAUCUGAAGGCUGCGGGUUCGACCCCCGCGGUGGGCU